UCCGAAGCAGAACCUACAGUACAGCUCAUAAAAGCUCAAAUUAAAGCAAGACAGAAGAAAAAAACUAAAAGCGCGAAAAAGCGAGACGAAACUGUGGAGGAAAAACUUACGUUCAGAAAUGAAUUGAUGAAGUAGCCCAAACAAAAAUCAGCCACAGAGCCGGAACAGGCAACUUCAAAAACACGUGAAUGUUUGGAGGUCCAUGAUGCAAGGAAAGAAGAGGUUAUAGAGAGUGAUGAUUCCGAGAAGUACACAUUGGUUAAAAGGAGGGAGAAAACGAAAAAAAUUCAUGCAGAAAUAACUGCAGAGGAGAUCACUGUAAUACAUCACAGUGAUCUGCUCCUAAAUCAGGAUAAAUGUUUCAAAUAAACAAGGAGUUUAAAACGUCUCCUUGGAAGCUCCAAAGAGUGCAGAGAAGUCCUCCAGAAGAGGCAAAACUGUUACAGGAAAUAAAUGUAUAUAAAACGGAAAUU
Long non-coding RNA from Belonocnema kinseyi, 473 nucleotides. RefSeq lists it as uncharacterized. NCBI's taxonomy places the organism in Eukaryota, Metazoa, Arthropoda, Insecta, Hymenoptera, Cynipidae. The transcript has 3 exons. The record is from RefSeq and is a predicted model, not a curated record.